This is a long non-coding RNA of Haliotis rufescens (red abalone), 1611 nucleotides long. RefSeq lists it as uncharacterized. The transcript is spliced from 5 exons. NCBI's taxonomy places the organism in Eukaryota, Metazoa, Mollusca, Gastropoda, Lepetellida, Haliotidae. The record is from RefSeq and is a predicted model, not a curated record.
UGAUGUGAGACAUUUUCAUCUGGCUGGUUGAAGAGUUUUUGUUAGUCCGUAAAUACGCUCUCAUAUAAUAUCCGUGAGAGAGAGGGGGCUUUCCUUCCAUGUGCGAACUUUGUGAUAACUCGACAGGAUGUCACAUCGAUAGCAAAUACAUACUCACUGUAUUCGUGUCUGCCUACAUAGUCUUUGUUUAUAAGUUAUAUAAAAUUACUAAAAUUAGAAAAAACAUCACUUUUUCAAACCGAAAGGAAAACGAGUUGGUGGUUUACACGAGUAUUGAAACGAAAGUGAAACAAGUAGAUUCGAGGUCUCAUCUUUUCGAGGUCUGCAGGAAGAGGAGGAGGAGGUCCGAAAACAAGUAAUACAAAGAAUGUCAUCCCUACUUAUUCCCGAAGAACAAGAAAUGUUUCAAUCCGAAUCUGACACAAGUAACCAUGUUAUCUAUAUAUGGAUGCCCGUUGGAGUCAGUCAGGUCGGACAUGCAUCGUUGUGCUGAGUAACGGUGUAUAUGUAAGCUGGUGGCCACAAGAUAAGAAAUCAAAAUGUGGGUUUAAGAAGAAAGAAAAUAAAUGCAAUAGUAGCCUGCAGGGAGACAUCAAAGAAGAGGGCAUGGAUCCUGACUACACGUUUAAGAUACCCUCCACAAAGUUAGACCUGACUGACUGAUAUGACAACCUUUUGGAAUAAACAAAAAAGCACGGGUCACUAUUCCUUACUGAAACAAAACUGUUGCUGGGUUGUGUACCGCGUCCUCCGUGCAGGCAGAUCCCCAAUGAGUCAAACAAUUCUUUGGAGACCAGAAACUUUACGGAGGUAUCUGGUCAUUUACCUGGGUGGUGGAUCAGGAUUUUUUACUUUUUUUAACAUGCCAGAUUGGGAUUUACGUUUCAAAGGUCAAAGCUGUGAAGAAAGCUUUGGCCUCAGCAGUAAAAAUUGAACUGGUGUCUGGUAUUCUUGAGGGAGACAGUUCUGGAUCCAAUGAUGGCACCAUCUGCCAGGGAGGAGAAGACAGAAGACGAAAAAAUCACACUGUAUACAUGGAAUGCCAGAGGUGGGAGGGAAAAACACCAGUCACUAUUGCUAGAUAACUCAGUAUAUGUAAGCUGUUGGCCCCGUCACUUAUUGUCAGAAGGACAUGCUUCGUGCAGCUUACAAGACGAUCGAAGAAAGAUGGGUAGAGUGGAAGAUGAGGCACAUAUCCUUCCUAAUAUGACGUUGGAGUACCACCUCAUGAGGAGACGCUGGAAGCAAAUGAUGACAGAGGAAACAUCGGAAAUGGGGGCAGCUAAGUCGGACUGGGUCAUACGACAAAUUCUGAUUGCAGGUGGCGCUCCUAUAUUACUGCGAAUAGGAAUAAUAUGAUGAUGCACACUUGACUUUCUGAAAAUAAUCAACAUAUGACACAUUCAUUGGAUGACUGGAUGCGGAACAAUACAUAGAUUUAUUACAGCUUCUGUUUUAAGUCUCCUGAAGUUUGUGACGUGUGCUGCAAAUAGACUUUUGUUGCAACUUUGUACUCGCAUCUAAAGCCAGUCAAUACUCGAUUUAGAAAUUAAUAACCUACGAGCAACGAGAGAUUAUAUGUGUCUUGUGAAUAAAUUUUGUAAAUUCUGA